AUCCGAAUAGUGUAGUGGUUAUCACGUUUGCUUUACACGCAAAAGGUCUCCGGUUCGAACCCGGGUUCGGGUA
Neocallimastix californiae is the source of this 73-nucleotide transfer RNA. It matches the Rfam family "tRNA". From Rfam's summary of the family: Transfer RNA (tRNA) molecules are approximately 80 nucleotides in length. Their secondary structure includes four short double-helical elements and three loops (D, anti-codon, and T loops). Further hydrogen bonds mediate the characteristic L-shaped molecular structure. tRNAs have two regions of fundamental functional importance: the anti-codon, which is responsible for specific mRNA codon recognition, and the 3' end, to which the tRNAs corresponding amino acid is attached (by aminoacyl-tRNA synthetases). tRNAs cope with the degeneracy of the genetic code in two manners: having more than one tRNA (with a specific anti-codon) for a particular amino acid; and 'wobble' base-pairing, i.e. permitting non-standard base-pairing at the 3rd anti-codon position. Lineage: Eukaryota; Fungi; Neocallimastigomycota; Neocallimastigomycetes; Neocallimastigales; Neocallimastigaceae. The record is from Rfam.